GACGAACGCUGGCGGCGUGCUUAACACAUGCAAGUCGAACGAUGAAGCCUUAGCUUGCUUUGGUGGCUUAGUGGCGCACGGGUGAGUAACACGUGAGCAACGUGCCCAGGACUCUGGAAUAACCGCGGGAAACCGUGGCUACUACCGGAUAGGUGCCGAGGCCGCAUGGUCUUCGGUUGGACAGUUUUUGCGGUUCUGGAUCGGCUCACGGCCUAUCAGCUUGUUGGUGGGGUACUGGCCUACCAAGGCGACGACGGGUAGCCGGCCUGAGAGGGUGACCGGCGACACUGGGACUGAGACACGGCCCAGACUCCUACGGGAGGCAGCAGUGGGGAAUAUUGCACAAUGGGCGCAAGCCUGAUGCAGCAACGCCGCGUGGGGGAUGACGUCCUUCGGGUUGUAAACCGCUUUUAGUAGGGAAGAAGCGCAAGUGACGGUACCUGCAGAAAAAGCACCGGCUAACUACGUG
Molecule: ribosomal RNA, 469 nt
Filed under: uncultured bacterium
Lineage: Bacteria
Description: partial 16S ribosomal RNA
Rfam family: Bacterial small subunit ribosomal RNA
Source: RNAcentral